UACGGAGGGGGCUAGCGUUGUUCGGAAUUACUGGGCGUAAAGCGCACGUAGGCGGCUUUGUAAGUUAGAGGUGAAAGCCCGGGGCUCAACCCCGGAAUUGCCUUUAAGACUGCAUCGCUUGAACGUCGGAGAGGUGAGUGGAAUUCCGAGUGUAGAGGUGAAAUUCGUAGAUAUUCGGAAGAACACCAGUGGCGAAGGCGGCUCACUGGUCCGGUACUGACGCUGAGGUGCGAAAGCGUGGGGAGCAAACAGG
RNAcentral lists this ribosomal RNA (253 nucleotides) under uncultured bacterium. RNAcentral describes it as "partial 16S ribosomal RNA". It matches the Rfam family "Bacterial small subunit ribosomal RNA", at positions 524 to 776 of the family's 1533-position model. The record is from RNAcentral.